GACGAACGCUGGCGGCGUGCCUAAUACAUGCAAGUCAAACGCUUCUUUCCUCCCGAGUGCUUGCACUCAAUUGGAAAGAGGAGUGGCGGACGGGUGAGUAACACGUGGGUAACCUACCCAUCAGAGGGGGAUAACACUUGGAAACAGGUGCUAAUACCGCAUAACAGUUUAUGCCGCAUGGCAUAAGAGUGAAAGGCGCUUUCGGGUGUCGCUGAUGGAUGGACCCGCGGUGCAUUAGCUAGUUGGUGAGGUAACGGCUCACCAAGGCCACGAUGCAUAGCCGACCUGAGAGGGUGAUCGGCCACACUGGGACUGAGACACGGCCCAGACUCCUACGGGAGGCAGCAGUAGGGAAUCUUCGGCAAUGGACGAAAGUCUGACCGAGCAACGCCGCGUGAGUGAAGAAGGUUUUCGGAUCGUAAAACUCUGUUGUUAGAGAAGAACAAGGACGUUAGUAACUGAACGUCCCCUGACGGUAUCUAACCAGAAAGCCACGGCUAACUACGUG
Molecule: ribosomal RNA, 508 nt
Filed under: uncultured bacterium
Lineage: Bacteria
Description: partial 16S ribosomal RNA
Rfam family: Bacterial small subunit ribosomal RNA
Source: RNAcentral